UACGUAGGGUGCGAGCGUUGUCCGGAAUUAUUGGGCGUAAAGAGCUCGUAGGCGGUGUGUCACGUCGGCCGUGAAAACCUGCAGCUUAACUGUGGGCGUGCGGUCGAUACGGGCAUCACUGGAGUUCGGCAGGGGAGACUGGAAUUCCUGGUGUAGCGGUGAAAUGCGCAGAUAUCAGGAGGAACACCGGUGGCGAAGGCGGGUCUCUGGGCCGAUACUGACGGCUGAGGAGCGAAAGCCAGGGGAGCAAACGGG
This 255-nucleotide ribosomal RNA is filed under the name uncultured bacterium. Its description in RNAcentral is "partial 16S ribosomal RNA". It matches the Rfam family "Bacterial small subunit ribosomal RNA", at positions 524 to 776 of the family's 1533-position model. The record is from RNAcentral.